Molecule: ribosomal RNA, 433 nt
Filed under: uncultured bacterium
Lineage: Bacteria
Description: partial 16S ribosomal RNA
Rfam family: Bacterial small subunit ribosomal RNA
Source: RNAcentral
AACGAACGCUGGCGGCAUGCCUAACACAUGCAAGUCGAACGAGACCUUCGGGUCUAGUGGCGCACGGGUGCGUAACGCGUGGGAACCUGCCCUUAGGUUCGGAAUAACUCCCCGAAAGGGGUGCUAAUACCGGAUAAUGUCUUCGGACCAAAGAUUUAUCGCCUUUGGAUGGGCCCGCGUUGGAUUAGCUAGUUGGUAGGGUAAAAGCCUACCAAGGCGACGAUCCAUAGCUGGUCUGAGAGGAUGAUCAGCCACACUGGGACUGAGACACGGCCCAGACUCCUACGGGAGGCAGCAGCGGGGAAUAUUGGACAAUGGGCGAAAGCAUGAUGCAGCAAGGCCGCGAGAGUGAUGAAGGCCUUAGGAUGGUAAAGCUUUUUUACCCGGGAUGAUAAUGACAGUACCGGGAGAAUAAGCUCCGGCUAACUCCGUG